RNAcentral lists this small nuclear RNA (90 nucleotides) under Salvator merianae (Argentine black and white tegu). The record is from RNAcentral. Lineage: Eukaryota; Metazoa; Chordata; Lepidosauria; Squamata; Teiidae.
GUGCUCGUUGCGGCAGCACAGAUACUAAAAUUGAAACGAUGCAGAGAAGAGUAGGAUGACAGGCGAGUUUGUGAAGCGUUCCACAUUUUA